This 32-nucleotide ribosomal RNA is filed under the name Schizothyrium wisconsinense. RNAcentral describes it as "partial 28S ribosomal RNA". The record is from RNAcentral. Lineage: Eukaryota; Fungi; Ascomycota; Dothideomycetes; Mycosphaerellales; Schizothyriaceae.
GUGACCUCGGAUCGGUAGGUAUUCACGUAUUG